GAGUGUAUAGCCAAGUGGUCUAAGGCUGUGAGCCGCAACCUCACUAUUCGGGGGUUCAAAUCCCUCUACACUCUUA
RNAcentral lists this transfer RNA (76 nucleotides) under Caudoviricetes sp. Its description in RNAcentral is "tRNA-Cys". It matches the Rfam family "tRNA". From Rfam's summary of the family: Transfer RNA (tRNA) molecules are approximately 80 nucleotides in length. Lineage: Duplodnaviria; Heunggongvirae; Uroviricota; Caudoviricetes. The record is from RNAcentral.